RNAcentral lists this ribosomal RNA (1342 nucleotides) under uncultured bacterium. RNAcentral's name for it is "16S ribosomal RNA". It matches the Rfam family "Bacterial small subunit ribosomal RNA", at positions 28 to 1378 of the family's 1533-position model. The record is from RNAcentral.
GACGAACGCUUGCGGCGUGCUUAACACAUGCAAGUCGAACGGAAAGGCCCUGCUUUUGUGGGGUGCUCGAGUGGCGAACGGGUGAGUAACACGUGAGUAACCUGCCCUUGACUUUGGGAUAACUUCAGGAAACUGGGGCUAAUACCGGAUAGGAGCUCCUGCUGCAUGGUGGGGGUUGGAAAGUUUCGGCGGUUGGGGAUGGACUCGCGGCUUAUCAGCUUGUUGGUGGGGUAGUGGCUUACCAAGGCUUUGACGGGUAGCCGGCCUGAGAGGGUGACCGGCCACAUUGGGACUGAGAUACGGCCCAGACUCCUACGGGAGGCAGCAGUGGGGAAUAUUGCACAAUGGGCGGAAGCCUGAUGCAGCAACGCCGCGUGCGGGAUGACGGCCUUCGGGUUGUAAACCGCUUUCGCCUGUGACGAAGCGUGAGUGACGGUAAUGGGUAAAGAAGCACCGGCUAACUACGUGCCAGCAGCCGCGGUGAUACGUAGGGUGCGAGCGUUGUCCGGAUUUAUUGGGCGUAAAGGGCUCGUAGGUGUUGAUCGCGUCGGAAGUGUAAUCUUGGGGCUUAACCCUGAGCGUGCUUUCGAUACGGGUUGACUUGAGGAAGGUAGGGGAGAAUGGAAUUCCUGGUGGAGCGGUGGAAUGCGCAGAUAUCAGGAGGAACACCAGUGGCGAAGGCGGUUCUCUGGGCCUUUCCUGACGCUGAGGAGCGAAAGCGUGGGGAGCGAACAGGCUUAGAUACCCUGGUAGUCCACGCUGUAAACGGUGGGUACUAGGUGUGGGGUCCAUUCCACGGGUUCCGCGCCGUAGCUAACGCUUUAAGUACCCCGCCUGGGGAGUACGGCCGCAAGGCUAAAACUCAAAGGAAUUGACGGGGCCCCGCACAAGCGGCGGAGCAUGCGGAUUAAUUCGAUGCAACGCGUAGAACCUUACCUGGGUUUGACAUGGAUCGGGAGUGCUCAGAGAUGGGUGUGCCUCUUUUGGGGUCGGUUCACAGGUGGUGCAUGGCUGUCGUCAGCUCGUGUCGUGAGAUGUUGGGUUAAGUCCCGCAACGAGCGCAACCCUUGUUCACUGUUGCCAGCACGUUAUGGUGGGGACUCAGUGGAGACCGCCGGGGUCAACUCGGAGGAAGGUGGGGAUGACGUCAAGUCAUCAUGCCCCUUAUGUCCAGGGCUUCACGCAUGCUACAAUGGCUGGUACAGAGAGUGGCGAGCCUGUGAGGGUGAGCGAAUCUCGGAAAGCCGGUCUCAGUUCGGAUUGGGGUCUGCAACUCGACCUCAUGAAGUCGGAGUCGCUAGUAAUCGCAGAUCAGCAACGCUGCGGUGAAUACGUUCCCGGG